RNAcentral lists this transfer RNA (75 nucleotides) under Alphaproteobacteria bacterium. RNAcentral describes it as "tRNA-Val". It matches the Rfam family "tRNA". From Rfam's summary of the family: Transfer RNA (tRNA) molecules are approximately 80 nucleotides in length. Lineage: Bacteria; Pseudomonadati; Pseudomonadota; Alphaproteobacteria. The record is from RNAcentral.
GGGCGGUUAGCUCAGCGGUAGAGCAUACCCUUCACACGGGUGGGGCCACAGGUUCGAUCCCUGUACCGCCCACCA